CCUACGGGUGGCAGCAGUGGGGAAUAUUGGACAAUGGGCGAAAGCCUGAUCCAGCCAUGCCGCGUGUGUGAAGAAGGCCUUCGGGUUGUAAAGCACUUUCAGUGGGGAAGAAAGCCUUGGGGCUAAUACCCUCGAGGAAGGACAUCACCCACAGAAGAAGCACCGGCUAACUCCGUGCCAGCAGCCGCGGUAAUACGGAGGGUGCGAGCGUUAAUCGGAAUUACUGGGCGUAAAGCGCGCGUAGGCGGUCUGAUAAGCCGGUUGUGAAAGCCCCGGGCUCAACCUGGGAACGGCAUCCGGAACGGUCAGGCUAGAGUGCAGGAGAGGAAGGUAGAAUUCCCGGUGUAGCGGUGAAAUGCGUAGCGAUCGGGAGGAGUACCAGUGGCGAAGGCGGCCUUCUGGACUGACACUGACGCUGAGGUGCGAAAGCGUGGGUAGCAAACAGGAUUAGAUACCCGUGUAGUC
RNAcentral lists this ribosomal RNA (465 nucleotides) under Vreelandella stevensii. RNAcentral's name for it is "partial 16S ribosomal RNA". It matches the Rfam family "Bacterial small subunit ribosomal RNA", at positions 338 to 795 of the family's 1533-position model. Lineage: Bacteria; Pseudomonadati; Pseudomonadota; Gammaproteobacteria; Oceanospirillales; Halomonadaceae. The record is from RNAcentral.